RNAcentral lists this long non-coding RNA (338 nucleotides) under Helianthus annuus (common sunflower). RNAcentral describes it as "sRNA HanXRQr2_Chr11g0466641". The record is from RNAcentral. Lineage: Eukaryota; Viridiplantae; Streptophyta; Magnoliopsida; Asterales; Asteraceae.
UUUAGUUCAUCACUUCAUCCCUAAUUUCUCAAGAAACACCCACAGUCCACAUGAGAGAAUUCUGAAGUUUUCUCCUCCACAACGCCAAUCCAAGAUUCAUCAGCCCACAACAACGGUAACUUCAUAACGUGUUCAUGGCCACGCGUUUUAUAUUCCAUGCGUGAACAAAGGUGGUGGUGGCGGUGUUUCACUGUCCAAAACGCGUGAAUGUUGGUUCAUCAAGCAGCGCCCCAGGUGGCCUUACAAUUGAUCCAUGAUCGCUCUUGACGUACUAUGAGACUUCUGACAAGUACUAGGCGUAAUUGGCUGUGAUUUCUCCUUAGCAUCAUUAGAAGUCU